UGGACUUGGAUAUGGGUGGGUAAAAACCCAACCUACACUCAAAAAACCAAUCAGAGAAUAGGGGCCUAAUUCAAUUGAAUGGGUUUUCCACCCAUCAACUAAUACACUAACUUAAUCCUUCUUCUAUUAAUGCCACAUGUAACACAAGAUGGAGGAAGCACAUAUGUUCUACCCUUCUUCUCGAAUGAGCAUUUUUCUAUGCUGCAUCUCGUCACCUUCCUCCAUUGGCAAUGCGCUAUCGAGUCUCUUCCUCUCUCAAGUUAUUGCCUUCUUUUCUUCACACCUCCGGUUCAUGGCCGCUGUAAUUUCAUGAAACCUCCACAGUUUGCAAGAUGCUUUGACUCACUUUACACGGUCUGCAUCUCUGCCGGAGUCAGGGAUCCCUCCUCAAUGACAAUUCUUCUAACUGCAUCUGGAGGACACACGCACCACCUAUGAUUGAGACUGUUCAAGCUUGCCAAAUUUGCUAUCGUGUGAGCCAAUUGAUUGCCUUCUCUUAGUACCCAGGUAAAUCUGCAAUUAACGUUCCCCUAUUGAAGCUCCCAGAUAUCUUUAAGUAUUGGCAAAAUUUUUUCAAUUUAUGUUCUUGACUUUAUUGCUUGAAUAAUUAAUUGGUUGUAUGACUCAAUCAAAACCUUCUUCAA
This is a non-coding RNA of Arachis ipaensis, 644 nucleotides long. The record is from RefSeq and is a predicted model, not a curated record. Lineage: Eukaryota; Viridiplantae; Streptophyta; Magnoliopsida; Fabales; Fabaceae.